RNAcentral lists this ribosomal RNA (253 nucleotides) under uncultured prokaryote. RNAcentral describes it as "partial 16S ribosomal RNA". It matches the Rfam family "Bacterial small subunit ribosomal RNA", at positions 524 to 776 of the family's 1533-position model. The record is from RNAcentral.
UACAGAGGGUGCAAGCGUUGUUCGGAAUUAUUGGGCGUAAAGCGCUUGUAGGCGGCCUGUUAAGUCGCGUGUGAAAUCCCUAGGCUUAACCUAGGAAGUGCGCGCGAAACUGAUGGGCUUGAGUGCUGGAGAGGGUCGCGGAAUUCCCGGUGUAGAGGUGAAAUUCGUAGAUAUCGGGAGGAACACCAGUGGCGAAGGCGGCGACCUGGACAGACACUGACGCUGAGACGCGAAAGCUGGGGGAGCGAACGGG